Molecule: ribosomal RNA, 396 nt
Filed under: uncultured bacterium
Lineage: Bacteria
Description: partial 16S ribosomal RNA
Rfam family: Bacterial small subunit ribosomal RNA
Source: RNAcentral
GAUAUUGCACAAUGGAGGAAACUCUGAUGCAGCGACGCCGCGUGAGUGAAGAAGUAUUUCGGUAUGUAAAGCUCUAUCAGCAGGGAAGAUAAUGACAGUACCUGACUAAGAAGCCCCGGCUAACUACGUGCCAGCAGCCGCGGUAAUACGUAGGGGGCAAGCGUUAUCCGGAUUUACUGGGUGUAAAGGGAGCGUAGACGGGAUGGCAAGUCUGAAGUGAAAUCCUGCGGCUUAACCGCAGAAUUGCUUUGGAAACUGUCAACCUGGAGUGUCGGAGAGGUAAGCGGAAUUCCUAGUGUAGUAGUGAAAUGCGUAGAGAUUAGGAAGAACACCGGAGGCGAAGGCGGCUUACUGGACGAUAACUGACGUUGAGGCUCGAAAGCGUGGGGGGCAAAC